This 394-nucleotide ribosomal RNA is filed under the name uncultured bacterium. Its description in RNAcentral is "bacterial SSU rRNA". It matches the Rfam family "Bacterial small subunit ribosomal RNA", at positions 358 to 769 of the family's 1533-position model. The record is from RNAcentral.
GGAAUAUUGGACAAUGGGCGCAAGCCUGAUCCAGCCAUGCCGCGUGAGUGAUGAAGGCCCUAGGGUUGUAAAGCUCUUUCACCGGUGACGAUAAUGACGGUAGCAGGAGAAGGAGCACCGGCUAACUCCGUGCCAGCAGCCGCGGUAAGACGGAGGGUGCUAGCGUUGUUCGGAAUGACUGGGCGUAAAGGGCGCGUAGGCGGUUUUGUCAGUCAGGCGUGAAAGCCCCGGGCUUAACCUGGGAACUGCGUUUGAUACUGCAAGACUUGAGGACGGAAGAGGAAAGUGGAAUUCCUAGUGUAGAGGUGAAAUUCGUAGAUAUUAGGAGGAACACCAGAGGCGAAGGCGGCUUUCUGGUCCGUUACUGACGCUGAGGCGCGAAAGCGUGGGGAGC